Molecule: unclassified non-coding RNA, 443 nt
Filed under: Hevea brasiliensis (rubber tree)
Lineage: Eukaryota; Viridiplantae; Streptophyta; Magnoliopsida; Malpighiales; Euphorbiaceae
Source: RNAcentral
AGAAAGACGAUAUUAAUAGUGCAACUAAGUUCUUGAUGAGAUGCCUGUGAUGGGAAUAGUUCCCAAUGUUGUGAGCUACACAACCAUUUUGGGUUGUUAUGUAUCACUUGGUGAUUUACUCGGCGCCAAGAGGAUGUUUGAUGAAAUUGUUGAUAGAGGGUGGUUGCCUGAUGCAACGACGUACACUAUCUUGAUGCAUGGUUAUGUUAAGCAAGGGAAGUUUAUUGAUGCAGCUAAGAUAAUGGAUGAGAUGGACGACAAUGGGAUUGGGCCAAAUGAAGUGACAUAUGGAAUUAUGAUUGAGGCAUUUUGCAAGGAAAAGAAGUCCGGUGAAGCUGUUAAUUUACUUAACGAUAUGCUAGAUAAGAGGUAUAUACCAAGCCCAACACUUUGCUCUAAGGUGAUUGAUGUCUUGUGUGAAGAGGGGAAGGUUGAGGAGGCGU